RNAcentral lists this transfer RNA (74 nucleotides) under Ruminococcus sp. RNAcentral's name for it is "tRNA-Met". It matches the Rfam family "tRNA". Rfam says of the family: Transfer RNA (tRNA) molecules are approximately 80 nucleotides in length. Lineage: Bacteria; Bacillati; Bacillota; Clostridia; Eubacteriales; Oscillospiraceae. The record is from RNAcentral.
GGCGGCAUAGCUCAGUUGGCUAGAGCACUCGGUUCAUACCCGAACGGUCACUGGUUCAAAUCCAGCUGCCGCUA